Molecule: ribosomal RNA, 407 nt
Filed under: uncultured bacterium
Lineage: Bacteria
Description: partial 16S ribosomal RNA
Rfam family: Bacterial small subunit ribosomal RNA
Source: RNAcentral
GACGAACGCUGGCGGCGGGCCUAAUACAUGCAAGUAGGAAGCAGUUGCGAAAGGGUGAGUAACGCGUAGGUAACUACCUAUUAGAGGGGGAUAACUAUCGGAAACGAUAGCUAAUACCGAAAUAUAGUAGGUGGACCUGAGUUGGAUUAGCUAGUAGGGAGGGUAAUGGCCUAAGUAGGCAACGAUACAUAGCCGACGUGAGAGGGUUGACGGCCACAGUGGGACUGAGACACGGCCCAGGCUCCUACGGGAGGCAGCAGUGGGGAAUCUUCGGCAAUGGGGGGAACACUGACCGAGCAACGCCGCGUGAGUGAAGACGGUUUUCGGAUCGUAAAGCUCUGUUGUUCGGGAAGCGGUACUUGACAGGAAAGGGACGGCUAACUACGUGCCAGCAGCCGCGGUAAUAC